UCUAUUAAAGUGUCAUCGCACAUAAAAAUUUGAUUUUUAUAGAGAUAAUUAUCUAAUAGAA
Molecule: transfer RNA, 61 nt
Filed under: Heteropoda venatoria (giant crab spider)
Lineage: Eukaryota; Metazoa; Arthropoda; Arachnida; Araneae; Sparassidae
Description: tRNA-Gln
Source: RNAcentral